This is a long non-coding RNA of Gossypium raimondii (Peruvian cotton), 1364 nucleotides long. RefSeq lists it as uncharacterized. Lineage: Eukaryota; Viridiplantae; Streptophyta; Magnoliopsida; Malvales; Malvaceae. The record is from RefSeq and is a predicted model, not a curated record. The transcript is spliced from 2 exons.
UAUUGUAACAACCUACUUUUUCACUUAGCGUUUAGUCAUUUUUUUUCAACCCUAGCUGCUCCUCUCCUAUUUCUCAUCUUUCUCUUAAAGUUUCUUCCUUUCUCUCGAAUUUCACCAUUAUUGUGCUGCCCCAUUUUGCAAAGCCUUUACCUUUAUUUUUCCAGCCACUUUGCUGGUUAUUUUUACCCGUUAAACCAACCCUUUUUACUUCCCUAAAUCCAUCCCUAAGUCACUCAUAUCAGCCCCAAAUUGUUCACUAUCGCCCCCACUCCCUUGUUCAAAUUGGUGUCGGUGCUGAUUUAAACGUCCUAGAUCAACAGUGAUUACGGAUCUCGUUCACACUCGCGUUUCAUAUCAAUACAGUGUAAGUCUAUUUGAUAAUUCAAAUAGGAUUAUGUGGUGUACAACGAUGCUUCACAUGUUGGGCUUCGGUCUGUUUUGAUGCAGGAUUGUAAGUUGGUAGUUAUGCCUUGAGACAGUUUAGGCCACAUGAGUGUAAUUAUCCGACUCAUGAUUUGGAGUUGACAGCUACCGUUUUCGCUCUUAAAAUUUAGAGAGAUUAUUUAUAUGGUGAGAAGUGUAUUCUUUACACGAAUCACCGAAGUCUCAAAUAUCUCAUCACCCUUGUCGAAACCACUUUUUUGAAAACAAAAGUUAGUUGUUCACUUUAAAAACGAAAAUUGGAGUCGCCACCGAUCCUUUUUGAGGUGUGAUCGGCUCACUUUUUAACGAUUUUGGUCUGCAAAAUUUGAGAAAAUAGGUUCAGGAUUCGGUUACGCACGAGGAAGGGAUAAAUUGAUUGAUUGUUUAAUGUCUUGGUGUCGAAAAUUUGAAAAGAUUUUAAAAUACGAUCCUUUUAACUUGAAUAAAUUGAAUUAAAUGAUAAGACACUCUUAUUUCAAAGAAAUAAAGUGUCAGUGUCACACCCAGUGAGUUAGUGCGCAACAUUUUUAAUCUUCAAAAUUAAAUUUAUCUUUUGACUUUUAAAACUCAUGCAUUUUGAGAAGGAUAUUUGGUUAUUUGGGUCAAAUGAAAAAUCAAAACCCAGUAAAUUAGGGUUUAAUUUCCCAAAAUUCCUAAAUAUCGAAUAUUACCUUUAUUUUUAAAAAUCCUUAAUUCGAGGUAGCAAAAUGUCAUAUCCAGUGAGUUAGGAUCCAACAAUUUGAGCUCUCGAGAAUAAGCUUUAUUUGAAAUUUGUACGAUUUUAUUGAAAAAAGAUACUCAGCCACCUAAAUUCAACGAAGAAAAUUGAAUCCCAGUAAGUUAGGGCACAAUUUUCUCGAGAAUCUUUGGAUACCAGGUAUUUUGGAAACUUAUAAAUAAAAUUAUUUUGAUAUUUUAAUAAAAUGUAAUCUUUUAAACAA